UCGAGAAUCUUCGGCAAUGGGCGCAAGCCUGACCGAGCGACGCCGCGUGGAGGACGAAGGCCUUCGGGUUGUAAACUCCUGUCGAGGGGGAAGAAGGCCCCGCGAGGGGCUUGACUGAUCCCUGGAGGAAGCACGGGCUAAGUUCGUGCCAGCAGCCGCGGUAAGACGAACCGUGCGAACGUUAUUCGGAAUCACUGGGCUUAAAGCGCGUGUAGGCGGGGCGGCACGUCGGCCGUUGAAAGCCCCCGGCUCAACCGGGGAACGGGCGCCGAUACGACCGCCCUCGAGGGGCGUAGGGGGAGCUGGAACUUCCGGUGGAGCGGUGAAAUGCGUUGAGAUCGGAAGGAACGCCCGUGGCGAAAGCGAGCUCCUGGACGCCCACUGACGCUGAGACGCGAAAGCCAGGGGAGCGAACG
Molecule: ribosomal RNA, 416 nt
Filed under: uncultured bacterium
Lineage: Bacteria
Description: bacterial SSU rRNA
Rfam family: Bacterial small subunit ribosomal RNA
Source: RNAcentral